CCACGUAAUUACAAGAUUUAGGAGAUUUUAAUAGAACGAAUUUAUCAGAUAACACGAACACAUUACGUCAACACCAAAUCUGAUGGAGCAACAUGCAAUAUUUCAAAUUAGUUGUGGUCAAAAUCACUUCCUUAUCCGUUACAAUGGCUAUGAAUUUACAUUGACCUUUAUCGCACUUCCAGGUUAUUAAACACCCGGAGAUUAGCUUUUAUCAGAUGACAAGUUAGGUUACCUAUUUUUAACGAUGGGAAAUCAUUUAACUGACACCCAAGCCGGGAUACGCAGUGUAGAUACGUGGGGAGUGUGGGGGUAAAGGCCUAUGCAAAUAACUUACCACUAAACGGUCACCCUGCGCACUACUAAUGCCUGGUAAAAGCGAGGACUGUUCACCUGUCUAACCACCGAGUUCGUGCACUGACUUGAAUAGUGCGAUUCGGACGUCACGGUAUUAUUUUUAUAUCGCAGAUGUCGGUACAGAACCAACAUUGGUUCAGCUCUUCUUUGAGUCCAGCUAUUUGAGGGACUAUUGAAGAGAAUAGAAGAGGAGAACUAAGCUCUCCGAAUGUAGAGCACACUGAAGUUCUUCAUUCCCUAAAACAGACAGGAAAUAAAAACCACGGUGGCACUAUCCUUCUUUAAUAUAUAUUAACUACAUAGUGAAUUUGUAUAGAUUUAGUUUUUUGUCACCGUUGUUUUGUUUGACGUGUGACCUCCAAAAUAUAAAGCUUUUUAAAGAUUAAGUCAAGGAGACAUUCAAUGGCAAUGCAGACAAUCCAUCAAAGUCUGCGACGACUGCUUAAUAAGUCUCGAAUGAUGUCAAUCGAUGAUACAAGGAACUAAUCUCGAUUUAAAUACGCCUAUUAUAGUAAUGUCUUAGUAAUACAGAUAAUAUUAUGUAGCUACUUGGAUAAAAUUUAUACUUUAAAA
This is a long non-coding RNA of Pieris napi, 927 nucleotides long. RefSeq lists it as uncharacterized. The transcript has 2 exons. The record is from RefSeq and is a predicted model, not a curated record. Lineage: Eukaryota; Metazoa; Arthropoda; Insecta; Lepidoptera; Pieridae.